GGAAAAGCUCAAAUUUAAAAUCUGGCGGUCUUUGGCCGUUCCGAGUUGUAAUUUAGAGAAGCGUCUUCCGCGCUGGACCAUGCACAAGUCUCCUGGAAUGGAGCGUCAUAGAGGGUGAGAAUCCCGUCUUUGGCAUGGACUCCCGGUGCUUCAUGUGAUGCGCUCUCGAAGAGUCGAGUUGUUUGGGAAUGCAGCUCAAAAUGGGUGGUGAACUCCAUCUAAAGCUAAAUAUUGGCGAGAGACCGAUAGCGAACAAGUACCGUGAGGGAAAGAUGAAAAGCACUUUGGAAAGAGAGUGAAACAGUACGUGAAAUUGUUGAAAGGGAAACGCUUGAAGUCAGUCGCGUCGACCAAGACUCAGCCUUGCCUCGGCUUGGUGUUCUUCUUGGCUUGACGGGCCAGCAUCAAUUUCGUCCGUCGGAUAAUGGCGAGGGAAAGGUGGCACCCUUACGGGUGUGUUAUAGUCUCUUGUCGCAUGUGACGGGUGGGAUUGAGGAACUCAGCACGCGCCUUUAGGUGUCGGGGCUUCGGCCUACGUUACGUGCUUAGGAUGUUGGCGUAAUGGCUUUAAACGACCCGUCUUGAAACACGGACCAAGGAGUCUAACAUGCCCGCGAGUGUUCGGGUGGAAAACCCGUGCGCGUAAUGAAAGUAAUAGUUGGGACCUCUGU
This 671-nucleotide ribosomal RNA is filed under the name Lactifluus dinghuensis. RNAcentral's name for it is "eukaryotic LSU rRNA". It matches the Rfam family "Eukaryotic large subunit ribosomal RNA", at positions 101 to 747 of the family's 3401-position model. Lineage: Eukaryota; Fungi; Basidiomycota; Agaricomycetes; Russulales; Russulaceae. The record is from RNAcentral.